GAGAUACAGCAAAAAUCAUGAAUGUGUUAUACAGGUACCACUGAGUGAAAUCUGGGAAGCAGUGCUCUGAUCAAGCUACCUGCCUGCUUAAAAUUCUUCAACGACAGCCACGUUUUUCAGGAUAAAGUUCAAAUUCAUUAACAUGGCAUACAAAGCUGUCUCCAGUACUUCAAAACCCCAAUUCCCAAGUUAGCUAGCUGCACCCCUGAGUCCAGUCAUUGUAACUUCAUCAUUCAACAGUUCAGGUCAGGUAGGAGGAACACAAAAGUCUCCACACUCAAGUGCACACGCACGCGCACACACACCUGCUUAUAAUGUCCUCUCAUUCUUAGGUUAUGACCCAAUAUCAGAAAGGGGCAAAAAUAAAUUCUGUUCAAAAUGUGGCAGGAUUUGAAACAUAAUUCAUGAUAUCAGCUACAUAAGUCAUAAAAUCCCAAGUUUGUCAAUUGCAAAAUGUCCUAUUAAGCAUUAAGCUACAAAUUAGGAGUGCCAUCUUGUGGACACAUCCACCACUUCCACAUCAUGUCACCUCCUAGCCAACUCCGUGGUUGUUCUCACUGUGGAGGUCUCUGCCACAACUUCAGCAUUUUAUUGCAGAAGAAAACCCAGUCCUUGAACUGGUUUCUGCGUAGAACACACUGAAAGCCCUGGGAGAGGAAACCAGCAGACAGGAAAAGAGUAGACAUGGAAGAGCAAAUGAGUUCAUUGCUGGAAAGCUCGAAUUGUUAGUUUCGUUAAUGUGGGGUCCAAUUUGACUCUAUGGAGCCUAACUACCUAGCCUGAGCGCUCGCGGUGAGUAUGGGGUGGGAGAAUGUAAAGAGAAAGCAGGCAACAGUAGGAGUAAAACACACCAGAGGAAGGUGAUGUGGGUUUAUACUUGGGAACAACAUUACCUUGCCAUCUUAGGGCCAGAGGCAUUAAUCAUGGCUUCCCCAAUGCAUAAUUUCGAUGUUGGCAUUUCCUUCCCCAUUCCUUUCAGAAUCCUACCCUGUCAAGUAUUAUCUCUGAUGAAAUAUUCCCUGGGCCAGGCACGGUGGCUCAUGCCUGUAAUCCCAGCACUAUGGGAGGCCAAGGUGGGUGGAUCACCUGAGGUCAGGAGUUCAAGACCAGCCUGGCCAACGUGGCAAAACCCUGUCUCUACUAAAAAAAAAAAAUACAAAAAUUAGCUGGGCGUGGUGGCAGUUGACUGAAAUCUUAGAUACUCGGGAGGCUGAGGCAGGGAGAAUUGCUUGAACCUGGGAGGCGGAAGUUGCAGUGAGCCGAGAUCACCGCCAUUGUACUCCAGCCUAGGCGACACAGCGAGACUCUGUCUCGGGGGGAAAAAAAAGUUCAUAUCAAUUUCUAAUAUUCUAUAAUUAUUGUUUUUGGUCACAUAUACUUUUUCCAUGUAUUGAGGUGAACAGAUUGGUCUUAUUCUGUGUUAUAUUGAUUGAUUCAAAUUAUAAAUAAACCUUUCAUUCCUGUUAUAAACCCAA
Molecule: small RNA, 1475 nt
Filed under: Pan troglodytes (chimpanzee)
Lineage: Eukaryota; Metazoa; Chordata; Mammalia; Primates; Hominidae
Description: processed transcript
Source: RNAcentral